Molecule: long non-coding RNA, 1460 nt
Organism: Callorhinus ursinus (northern fur seal)
Lineage: Eukaryota; Metazoa; Chordata; Mammalia; Carnivora; Otariidae
Source: RefSeq, a predicted model, not a curated record
AAACUGGAGCUGCCUUUCUGCGCCCGCGCGGGCAGGCCGCCUGGCGCCGGAUCUGCCCGGUUCCUCGCGUGGGGGGGGGGGGAGGGCCUGCGAAAACGCACCGCCCCCGGACGAGACCCUUCUGCUUGGCCGCCGUGCCUCUCCCCAGUCGCUGCCUGGGUGCCUCAGCGCCUCGUCGUUCCGCGUCUCCGAGUCGCCUGCUCGGUGGCUUUCCCUAAGCCGCAGCCGUUAGCAGGCGCGGAGGGGAACCUGCACUGGGGAGUGUUUAAUUAAAGGCUAACAAACCUAUAGAGUUCGGGCUCAGGGAGAAUUCUGGAGGUGGGGUCGCCGGUGAAGGUGGCGCCAGGGCGCGCGCGAACUUGCUGAUGCGACUGUCCCUUCACGUAAACAUGCUUGAAAUGGUCAUUUUUAUGUUCUACCGAUUUUCCCACCCCAAGGGUGAGAGAAAACCUCUUUCUGGCGAAGGUGACACCGCGUGGGAGUUGUUCGAAAUGAGGCGUUGCACAAAUGGGUGGAACUGAAAUGCAGGUGUCAGAGAAGCCUUGAGAGAACAGAGAGCGAGGACCUUCAGCUGGGCGGAUGCCUGAGCUGAGUGACCCAGCGUGGAGGACCAGAAGGAUGUUGCCAUGACAGCGACUCCCACACUCCCUUCCAGCGCACGGGCCCUUCUCCCUCCCUCUCCGUGCCUGCUAGGAUCUCCCCUGAGAAUGGGAAUGUGCUUUGGCCAGCAGGGAAGGGAUCCGUGUAUGGUCGAGGAUGCAGGGGGAGAGGCGUAAUCUUGGGGUGUCUGCAGAAGGGACCAGAGCCCCAAAGAAAGCAGUCUGUACAACACUGAGGCCCCCGGAGACGACGAAGCCUGUGAAAGCAUAGUGGCCUCUAAAUGCGGUUCUGGGAUUUUCUCCAGCAGUGCACGGUGCUACACCGUUUUCUGAAGCCAAGCUCCAUGGCUCAGACCCUGGAAAAUGGGGCCUGUGUUGUUAAAGGAGAAUGGAGCCUGGCAUGGCUCGUGGAGGCCAUGACAGACUGGAGAAGGACCUGCUCCCCUCCGUGACAGCUCUCCUGAGUGACGGUGGCACUCCGUGUGUCUGUCUGGUCUGCUCAUCCUUCUGUGCUCCGUGUUGGGGUCCACUUACACGGGAUGUGAAACCUGGGCCUAGUUCAAGGAGAGGACAGGGCAGAGAUGCCCCAGUCUCCUCUAACGUGGACUGAUUGGAGGGUGGACGGAGGACGAGCUGCCCGGGGUGGUGAGGUGAGAACACACCUUCACUAGGGCUCCUCAGACCACAAGGCCACAUUGAUUAAUUUCUUCUCAAUGCCUGAUGUGAUCUUCGUGAUUGUUCACUGUCUGGACCUGCCAGAAACGGAGCAAACCACCCAGUGAAAUCAUUGCUGACCUGGUCCGGGGGGGUGGGAUGCAAUCAUGUGAAUGGUCUAGUUCAAUAAAUGCGCAGUCUCUCAGA